RNAcentral lists this ribosomal RNA (460 nucleotides) under uncultured bacterium. Its description in RNAcentral is "partial 16S ribosomal RNA". It matches the Rfam family "Bacterial small subunit ribosomal RNA", at positions 338 to 795 of the family's 1533-position model. The record is from RNAcentral.
CCUACGGGGCGCUGCAGUGAGGAAUAUUGGUCAAUGGCCGUAAGGCUGAACCAGCCAAGUCGCGUGAAGGAAGAAGGAUCUAUGGUUUGUAAACUUCUUUUAUAGGGGAAUAAAGGUAUCCACGUGUGGAUAUUUGCAUGUACCCUAUGAAUAAGCAUCGGCUAACUCCGUGCAAGCAGCAGCGGUAAUACGGAGGAUGCGAGCGUUAUCCGGAGUUAUUGGGUGUAAAGGGUGCGUAGGUUGUUUUUUAAGUCAGCGGUGAAAGUUUGUGGCUCAACCAUAAAAUUGCCGUUGAAACUGGAAGACGUGAGUGUGUGUGAGGUAAGCGGAAUGCGUGGUGUAGCGGUGAAAUGCAUAGAUAUCACGCAGAACUCUGAUUGCGAAGGCAGCUUACUAAGCCAUAACUGACACUGAAGCACGAAAGCGUGGGGAUCAAACAGGAUUAGAUACCCGGGUAGUC